AACGAACGCUGGCGGCAUGCCUAAUACAUGCAAGUCGAACGAGAUCUUCGGAUCUAGAGGCGCACGGGUGCGUAACGCGUGGGAAUCUACCCUUGGGUUCGGAAUAACAGUUAGAAAUGACUGCUAAUACCGGAUGAUGACGUAAGUCCAAAGAUUUAUCGCCCAAGGAUGAGCCCGCGUAAGAUUAGCUAGUUGGUGAGGUAAAGGCUCACCAAGGCUACGAUCUUUAGCUGGUCUGAGAGGAUGAUCAGCCACACUGGGACUGAGACACGGCCCAGACUCCUACGGGAGGCAGCAGUAGGGAAUAUUGGACAAUGGGCGAAAGCCUGAUCCAGCAAUGCCGCGUGAGUGAUGAAGGCCUUAGGGUUGUAAAGCUCUUUUACCCGAGAUGAUAAUGACAGUAUCGGGAGAAUAAGCUCCGGCUAACUCCGUG
RNAcentral lists this ribosomal RNA (433 nucleotides) under uncultured bacterium. RNAcentral describes it as "bacterial SSU rRNA". It matches the Rfam family "Bacterial small subunit ribosomal RNA", at positions 29 to 507 of the family's 1533-position model. The record is from RNAcentral.